GCAGCCGCGUCGCAUCGUGCUUUUGAAUGACAAAACGUCGCGCCUUGGCCGGCGCCACAGGGGUACGGCCGCUCGGCUCCGCCGUCUUGGUGAAAUCACGUUUUGUUCGGUAAACCUUAAGUUUCUUUUGGGCCACGGCGAGGCAUUCCCAACGGUGCAAUAAACGCGGAACAAUUGUAUCAUGCGCCAUCAGGCGGGAGUUCAGGAACCAAAACCUGCGGCUCCUGUUGGGGGUCCGCGUUUGAGUUGGAGGUCGCCGAUGUUGCCGCGUGCGUACUGGAAGGGUUCGCUGAAGCUGUCGCUGGUCACUUGCCCCGUGGCGCUCUAUCCCGCCUCGACGACGGUCGAACGAACCNNCAUGAUCAAUACCGAGACAGGAAACCGGCUGAAGCAGCAGAUGGUCGAUUCCGAGACCGGU
RNAcentral lists this unclassified non-coding RNA (418 nucleotides) under Hevea brasiliensis (rubber tree). The record is from RNAcentral. Lineage: Eukaryota; Viridiplantae; Streptophyta; Magnoliopsida; Malpighiales; Euphorbiaceae.